CCCGCUGUCUGUAGAACAAAAGGGCCUGUUCAGACGGACCGGCCACACAGCACGCCACGCUCGUGGAGCGCGGGUGUCGGGUUCAAACCUCUGGCUGGAGCAGAGCUGACAGGACGAGCCACAGAGCUUUGAAGGACAGACGGUGGAGCCAGGCAGCUCAUUCGGAAGGUUUCAUUAUGACGAAGGGUUACGGCAACAACCAUCCGCUGGUGAACAUGAUGCUCAUCUUGGCUCUGGUAGUCUCUACGCAGGCCCUGCCAAGCCCAUUCCGCACCACCGAUGUGACCUCCCCUCUCACCGAAAGUGGACUCGUCCCUCCCGGCAUUGACCUCGGCCAGACCUUGGAGUUGGACACGGCGCCGAACAUAGGGGGCACCACCGGUCAGGUUGGCCCGGGUAGCAGCUGUGGCCUGAGAGGACGCUGCGGAGAUAGUUGCUGCACCAUCCUGACCUCUGACCUCACAGGACUGAAGUGUCCACCAACGCAGGUGUUUGUUGUUAGCGCCGGGAGGUGUGUGGAUUGUGUGAUCGACCCACAUCCGUUGUGUCCGCGGGUGUCCGCCGGUGGUCGGUUCUAGGGUCUGUUCGGGAGCAAUGUACGUCGUUAAUGCGCGUGCGCUGGGGUGCACGGUUCGGGUCAACGAGUGAUAGUGCUUGUAACUUGUAAGCACAGGCCACAGCGAUGGCGAUGAACGACCGCCCGGUUUGGAUAUUUUACUAAUUUCAGAGCCCUAAUUAUUAAAUCAUAAAGUAGUUUCUUUUUAUAUCAAUACUGAACAGUGUCAUUCGUUUAAUCUCGCCGAGGGUACCUAAAACGGCUACAAUUUCAUAGGUAGGUACGCAAUACGCAUGUUUAACUUAAACCCUAUUAGUGGCAGGCUCCUGGCUACCCCUAGUCCCUACAUAUUAGUGGCAAGGGGAGGGCCGGGCUGUUUACGCCCCCCCUUGAUAUCCGAGAUCUAACCCGCUGAUUUUUGCAAUUUAAACGGCAUUCGAUUCCACUGGACAACUUCAGAUACUUUUUGACUGUUUACCGCGGCUAAGGCCACAUGAAUAUAAUGAAUUCAAUCGAUCCAGGGCAAUCUAACUACUACCAAAGCGUUCAUCAGAUGGUACAGUGCAUGUACCUAUACAUGAAACUCUUUUUGUAUACCUGGAUCCGCCUAUUAUGGGAAAAACGUAUCAAAAGAUGAUGCACAACCACUCUGCCAUAGAUAACAUGAUUCAUGUUAUGUUUGAUUCUGCAUAUGUUAUCACAUGGUAGGUUUUAGUCGCUGUUCAUAAAACUGGUGCAUACAGUUAGGUACCUAUAAUGGAUCUGACAUCAGCAUCGUGGUGUUCACCCAAAACACUCACUUUACGAAUAGGAGCUCCCGAUUUCUGAUGGUCUGAAACCGCCCCUGUUACAGGUAGCAGCUUGAAAUUUUUAGGGAAUGUGUCCAGUUUAGUUUUAAGCAGAGUCAGCAACUUUCAGCAUUUUACCUUUAGGCCGUUCCAGAGGGAUUCUUGAAAAACCUGAGGCGUUGAUGACCCCCCCCCCCUCCCCCUCCGCCACAAAUAGGGUGAACGGUACAAACGGCGAUGCACUACUCAGCUUUGUUGAUGUUUGGAAGGAGAUUCCGCUGAACCAGCAAUAACGGUUAUUGGUGCAUUGGUGAAUCGUUUCAGUUGGUGUGGGCUAUUGUGUUACCUUUUAUGCACUACUUAUGAGUGUAGGUAUUUUUUGGCAAACGCGAUAUGAAACUACAAUGUUCCGGUUAUCAGUGAAUACAUUUUUUGAAUA
Amphibalanus amphitrite is the source of this 1783-nucleotide long non-coding RNA. RefSeq lists it as uncharacterized. The record is from RefSeq and is a predicted model, not a curated record. Lineage: Eukaryota; Metazoa; Arthropoda; Thecostraca; Balanomorpha; Balanidae. The transcript has 2 exons.